Molecule: long non-coding RNA, 2537 nt
Filed under: Bemisia tabaci
Lineage: Eukaryota; Metazoa; Arthropoda; Insecta; Hemiptera; Aleyrodidae
Description: lncRNA ENSSSA1NGG010084
Source: RNAcentral
GUGAAUGUUCAUGAGGUAGUCAACACUGCAAAAGUUCAGACGUUAUGCUGAUUUUGAGUGCAAUAACAGCACUUCUGACUGUAAGUUGUUGAACGUAGGAUGCGCAUUCUCAAACAAAGUCAAUAACUCUGGAAUUAAGAAAUCAAGUUUGUUAUGAAUGUCCUUAUCUCUUUAUGUUGCAGAAAACAGAGGUAAUGCCAAAAAAGAGAGACCGAGAGUAUGGCUCUGAAUUUUUCUGCAUCAUUUGCGGCUUGCAUAGCUGCUGGUUUAAAAGUUCCGCGCCAGUUCAUGUAUUGCAUUGCCCAAGACACAGGUGCACCAUACGUUCUUUACAACAAAGACGGUGUGGAAAAAGGCAUGCCAACAAGCACUCAGUCAAAUGGACAAUGGGGACCUGGGUUGCCUCAAGAAAACGGAUAUGUAGCUAUCACGACACAACAACAUCAACAACAACAACAACACCAACAGCAGCAGCACCAACAGCAGUCACAUCAAAAUGCAUCCAGCAGUCAAACUGGUUCAUCAGACCAAUCAAACGGUAACAGGAGUUUAGAUUCUGCACGCAAGGUCGAAUCUUCGGCUAAUAUUGUACCGUCAUCAAGUGCAGAACAACAGCAGCAGUCCACUAUGACCUCACGAGAACCCUCACCAUAUCCUCAGCAAACUAGCUUGGGUGUGUAAAAAUUUCAAAUUAAUUAUACCUACUGUUAAUUACAGAUAGUUGUUUUUUGACUGGAGCAUACAUUUUAUCAUCAGAAUAGGAAUAUUAACACUAAGAAAACUUAUCACAUGAGUGCAGCGCGGCUAAAGCCUCUGCUGGUAUUCUAUUAUUUUAAAGAAAACCUUACCCAUUUUUUUUAUGUCUUAAGGAUUUAUUCUUGUUCGAAAGUAGGGUGAAAAUGAGGACUUUAAAAUAGCUGUUGUUAGAUGGUGCAUACUAUAAAUAAUCAAAUGUAUGGUUCGACCUGGCAACAUUGCAUUUUAAAGCAUUGCCAUAUGGUGCAGAAAAAUGAAAAAUUAAUUUUUGUUUUGAACUGGCAAUGUCGCAAAUCGACCAAUGGAACUUGGUCUGACCGUGUUGCCAGAAGGUGUAAAAAAUUAAGUAAAUAUUUUAUUUAUAGGGUCGAUCUAGCAACAUCCUCAAUUGAUAAUCGUCAUAUAAUGUUGCCUGAUGGUGUAGAUAACUGAACAUUUAAAUUACUGGCACGGGUUGGCAACACCGCGAAUUGAUUCGUCGAAACGUAACGUGAACCUAUCCUAAGUGUGGUGGGGUCGGGUAAACCAACCUGUCUGAAUUCUGGCGGGUUCGAGCCCGAGCGUUGCCUCUGACACUCACUGUUGGUUGAGAAUGUAAAAAAUAAAUAAUUUAAAUAUUGGUGCGACUUGGCAACAUGGUACUCGACCAAUUGAAAUGUGACGUAACCUAACCAUGGACCAAGAGAACAAAUAAGGACCUCCAACUCCAGUUAGCAGCUACACCAGCGGUGCCUGCCAGAGGGUCUAGUGAACUAAACCGACGAUGGGGUUCUCCUGUUUAUGUUUCCAUGUACCACCUAUUUAGGCUUAUCUCUCAAUGCUCAUGAAAGUUUCUAGAUCCUCGUGGUCGUUCUGAAGUUCUGAAGAGUCUAGUGGGAAAAGUUUCCCUUUUUUAUUUCAAUCUUUGUAAGUCUUCGGGUACAUAAACUGGUGAUAAUGUGAAGUGUCUUUUCUACCUUUUUAUUCAGCAGCAACUGCUGUUGAGAAAGCAAAAGGAAGUGUGUAUGUAGUAUGUAGCAGGUUUGUACUUAUAGCCGAAGGCGUUUCCUGUCAAAGUGAAAUCUUUUCAGCGUGUACUAUUAAAGAUCAACUGAGUGUCACAAAAUCAAAGAUACUUGACUUCAAGCAUUACCUUCAAUUUGAUUAAUAGCAAGUCUCUUUGAUUCUGCGUCAGAAGUUGACUGAAUCAUGUGCGGGUCGAGUUAAAUUUUUUUUUUUUCAAAAUCCUUCGGGCUACUGCGUUUUCCUUUUUUUAUGUAACAGAACCAUUGAAGACUGUGCAACAUUUGUUUUAGUCGAUUUAAAAAAAUGACUUCCACCCUAUAGGGGAGGGGGGAGUUUAGGGGUUAACUGUGAGUUAAGAAAAGGCGAAGUCCCUCGGAUAUUACCAUGUCAGCCUCGCGCUCAUGGUAUUGACCAGUAGGAGCAUGUAGCUCACUGGCGUCUUUCAGGACUCCAGCCAACACCACGCCAAAGUGGGAGACUUAAACAAUCAUACGUCGGUUUGGCUGUAUAAGAAAAGUUUAAGACUAAUGAAUAGAGAAAAUUUCGAAUGCUUCUAUAGCGAAAAGCAUUUGACCAUCCAAUCUUUUCAAAGUUUAUGAGAGGGAGAGUUCAAUUUUAGGGUUGCCGUCCCCUUUAAAAAUUCCUAUGUGACUAGCUGACACUGUUAUUUCUAAAAUCGCAAGAAUCAGUGAUAGAUUUACAAGCUCAUUAUACUUUCAAGCUUGCAAACAUUGCACUUGAAAGAACUUGGCAUUGCUUCUUAGUCCCUUCUCUUG